ACACUCCUGCGGGAGGCAGCAGUGGGGAAUAUUGCACAAUGGGCGCAAGCCUGAUGCAGCCAUGCCGCGUGUAUGAAGAAGGCCUUCGGGUUGUAAAGUACUUUCAGCGGGGAGGAAGGCGAUAAGGUUAAUAACCUUGUCGAUUGACGUUACCCGCAGAAGAAGCACCGGCUAACUCCGUGCCAGCAGCCGCGGUAAUACGGAGGGUGCAAGCGUUAAUCGGAAUUACUGGGCGUAAAGCGCACGCAGGCGGUCUGUCAAGUCGGAUGUGAAAUCCCCAGGCUCAACCUGGGAACUGCAUUCGAAACUGGCAGGCUAGAGUCUUGUAGAGGGGGGUAGAAUUCCAGGUGUAGCGGUGAAAUGCGUAGAGAUCUGGAGGAAUACCGGUGGCGAAGGCGGCCCCCUGGACAAAGACUGACGCUCAGGUGCGAAAGCGUGGGGAGCAAACAGGAUUAGAAACCCCGGUAGUCCCAUG
RNAcentral lists this ribosomal RNA (475 nucleotides) under uncultured organism. RNAcentral describes it as "partial 16S ribosomal RNA". It matches the Rfam family "Bacterial small subunit ribosomal RNA", at positions 333 to 799 of the family's 1533-position model. The record is from RNAcentral.